UUUGCACACGAGGAUGCUCCUGCCUGUUUGUGUUUACGCCCGGAGAAGCCCCUCUUGGCAAGAUGCUUGGAGGGGGCUCCAGAAGGCAGAGCUUGGAGAACAGCAUUUCAGAAGGCAGUGGGAGGGGAAGCCCUUCCUAAAGACGUCUCCUGCCUAGGAAAGACCAGCCACGCACCCUGCGCCCCAGCGGUAGGGAGCAGAUUCUACUGGUCCUUCUGUGUACCCAGCACUUCACGGAAGGAGUCCCACUGAGUCCCAUUGAGUCCUUCAGACAGUCGAUGUUACCCGCAGUUUACGCGUGAAGAGACAGGCCUGCAGAGUGUAAGUGAUUGGCCCGUGGUCACAUGUGGAAAGCGGUGAAGCCAGUCAGUACUGCUUCUUCCCCACCUAAAACCUUGCCAAGCAAGCUGAAGCUGCAUUCUUGAUCUCCCUAUAGGUGUCAGCAAGAAAGCACAGGAGUCAGAAAUGAAGCCUCCCUCCCGCCCCUGGGAAACCUGACCUACGUCCAGCUCCAAAGGCUAUUUGGACAACAUAAGCUCCCCUGCCAUGUGUCAUGCCCUGGGGACAAAGAGAAGGCCAUCUGUUUCAUCCCCGGGGGGUCCUGACAGAAAACCCUCUUGCAAAAGACAAGAAGGAAAUAUACCACCUGCUAACGGAAAUGGGAGUUGGACAGGUAGGAUUCAAGGUUUAUGUUUUUUCCUCCUUUUACCUAUUUUCCAACAUCUGUGCAGCAAGCAGGGUUGUGUUACUUUUAUUAAAAAAGUGGGGGGGGCGUCUGGCUGGCUCAGUCAGAAAGCAUGGGACUCUUGAUCUCAGGGUUGCGAAUUGGAGCCCCAUUUGGGGGUACAGAGAUUACUUAAAUAAAUACAAACUUUUACAAAAAUAAAUAAAUAAAGUUAAAAAGGGAAACAUAAAGAGCUAAUGAAAGGAUGCUUUUGUGUUGAGCUACAAUUCGCAGGACAAGCUCCCAGGCUCCUGGUUCCAGGGGACCGGGCUAGGCAUUUUGCGGGGGAAGGUCUUUGGGCCCCUCUGAUGAGCUAGCACCGCCCGGGAAUGGACAGGGAGAUCCCGGAUGGCAGUGCCUCACUACCCUGGUCUGUGAGCUUCUCCAGGCUGCUCAGACCCACCCUCUGAGUAUCUGGCGUGGCAGGGCAGCGUCCAGGGCUGGCUUCAUGGUCGGCGGCACAGGACUCUGCACUUAACAAGGGCAUCGCGAUUGGCCUAAGUCUCCGCUAUCGCUCUUCUGAAAUCCCCGUAAUUCCUCGACAAAGGCCGGGCCUUUCCAUGUUGCGUUGGGCCCUGCAAAUCAUGUAGCCAGCCCCGGCAGGAUCCCCCUUCCAACCAAGGGCUUCGGAACAAGGCAGGCCGGGGUCCCGGCACGAGCUCCCUGACUCACCUAUGCUGUGACCUGGAGCAAGUGACUUCACCUCCCUGGGACUCACGUUUCUUAAGACGAAGAACAAAAAUAACCUCAUAGUGAUGUGAUAAAAGGUGAGCACAAAGUACGUGCCCCCGAAUCGUACUGUAAUUUGUUACAUAAAGUACUUACCACGGGCCCGACACAGAGUAAUCCUCCAGCGGGGAGGACGCUGGUCUCCGGCCAGACGCCCACAGAUCAGACGCCGCUGAUGGACGGCUCUCCUCCCCACCCUGCUUCCUGUGCACGGCUCUGGAGGGCAGAGCGGGUAGGUACUCGGCUGGGAUGCGCACACAUACGCUCCGCCUCCCCCUGCCCUGACCCCUCGGAGGAACCUGCCUCUGCCUCUCUCCAGAUACAAACACCGUCCGUCCCCCCACCCCGACCCGGACCCGCGUGGUUCUUCACAACAAGCCUCCGGGGAAGGGAACGGCGUGGGCGGCCCGUGAGCGUGGGCUGGUCCCUGCCGGGAUCCAGAGGUACAUCCUGUUCUGGCGUUGCCAUGGCACAGCCGAACAUCUGCCACAACAAACGGCUGUGGUCGGCGGCUGGCAGUGGGGCCGGGGCCGGGCAAGGGAGGCUGAGGCUGAGAGCGCGUGAGACCGAGAAGGACUCGAGCCGGACAGCGAUCUGGGAAACCUCCCCGGCACCCCCGCCACCUCCCCGCGACACGUGCACGCGCAGGCGCGCACACGCAUGCGCACACUGUGUCUAGGCGGCUUCCAGGGACUCGGCCCCGUAGGGAAGAAGAAUUCCCGAUUCCCGAUUUUCUUCCUGGAGAUCCUGGGAGAAGAUCGCUGGCCAGCGCGAAGCCUUAGCAGGGCUUCCCCUCCUCUCCUCACCCCCCCUCCCCCCCCCCCCCCGCCCCCCGACUGCCCCGAAUUCUCAUCCUGGUCUAGCUCGCUCACAGCCGGGCUCCCAGAUCUGCCCUAGGCCCCAUCCCGCUCCUAAAAUGGAAUUUGCUUUCCUGGUUGUUAUUGUUGUUUUUCCUGAUUAGAAAGUAAAACACAGUCAUUGUAUCAAAAUCACAUGAUGUCCACAGCGACAAUAGCUGCGCUCCUGGUGCAUGAGCCAGCGGCUGAGCCACAUACCUCUCAUUAAAAAUACGCAUGCAUAAAAGGCCCGUGGUACUUGCUAUACAUGCAUUUGUCAAAAAAAGAAAACCAAAAAAACAAAAAAAAACAAAAAAAAAACCUGUUAAAAUCUGAUCCCGAACGUCCAGCUGGGAAUGCAGGUAUUAACACAUUUUCUACAGGAAGAAAACAGAAGCUCAGGUAGGUGACCUGCCCGAGGUCACUAGUGAGUGUCUGAUCUGGAGUUGAAUCCAGGUUAUACCAACACUAGAGAGCUUUAAGCCCAGAAUCUUCCACCACCCCCACCACCCCCGCCCUUUGCUGCUUCUCUUAGUUUCUUGAACACCUCCUCAGGUCCACUCCUUUUUUCAGGCCACACGCCCCCAGUGCUGACCUCAUUCCUGCUGGAAGCCCCAGAGGUCCAGCUGAGGUCAUGGUUCUGGUCCUAGACUUAUGAAGGCCACACCCUGUCUGGGGCCUUUGGGCCCUCCCCUGUUUGCCUGUGUUCCUGCCCUCCAAGAGCUUGAGCACUCUCCCCGGGCCUGCCCAGGGCCCAGACUUCAGCGGUACCACACCUCUUCCCUCUGCCCACUUUCUCCGCCCUGCAGUGGCAGCUAGGUUGAGAUCAUAACGUUAGUUAUAACAGGUGACAAGUCUUGAGCCACACCAGACAAGGUGGUUUUGUCAUCACCAUUGUUCAGGUGAAGAGACUCAGAAGUUGAAUGAUUUACCCGGGUAGCCCAGCCAGAAGGGAGACAGACUUCCAGAACCACCUCUUCCAGGAAGCCAUCCCUAACAGCAGCCGGCCCUCCACUCCCCACCCCCCACUCCCUACCCCCACCCGCAUCUGGAAGAGAGAAGUAUUUAGUCGGAGUACCCCACUGGCCUGUGCAAGACUGUAAGCCCCUUAGGUUGGGUGCUGAGUCAGGUUUAUUGUGGCUCACGCUGGGUCUGACAUAAUAGGCACUCAAUAACUAUUUGUUCGAUGAACGGAUAAAUAAAUAAAUGACGAAUGA
Molecule: long non-coding RNA, 3506 nt
Organism: Herpailurus yagouaroundi (jaguarundi)
Lineage: Eukaryota; Metazoa; Chordata; Mammalia; Carnivora; Felidae
Exons: 2
Source: RefSeq, a predicted model, not a curated record